RNAcentral lists this unclassified non-coding RNA (305 nucleotides) under Corylopsis glabrescens. RNAcentral's name for it is "partial contains external transcribed spacer and 18S ribosomal RNA". The record is from RNAcentral. Lineage: Eukaryota; Viridiplantae; Streptophyta; Magnoliopsida; Saxifragales; Hamamelidaceae.
CUGUCCCUUUCCGUUGAGCGCUGCUCUGUGGUGCGAGGCGGACCUCAAAGUAGUCCCUGUGUUCCAAGCUUUCGCCGCGAUCAUGUGGUGCGGGCGUGGCUCACGGGUUCCUACUCGUUCUCUCGGAUAUUGAAGCUUGUGAGGGCACGGGGCCUCGGUCCCUAUUUUGCCCAAACAAAGCGUUCGUCGCUCGACACGUACGACAGCCGUGCUCGCCUUGACCUCUCCGACUCUGUUGGUUAGGCUCAUGCGGCGCCGGCGUCGAACAGGAUGCUACCUGGUUGAUCCUGCCAGUAGUCAUAUGC